Molecule: ribosomal RNA, 615 nt
Filed under: Escherichia coli
Lineage: Bacteria; Pseudomonadati; Pseudomonadota; Gammaproteobacteria; Enterobacterales; Enterobacteriaceae
Also listed under: 1 other name
Description: partial 16S ribosomal RNA
Rfam family: Bacterial small subunit ribosomal RNA
Source: RNAcentral
AAAUUGAAGAGUUUGAUCAUGGCUCAGAUUGAACGCUGGCGGCAGGCCUAACACAUGCAAGUCGAACGGUAACAGGAAACAGCUUGCUGUUUCGCUGACGAGUGGCGGACGGGUGAGUAAUGUCUGGGAAACUGCCCGAUGGAGGGGGAUAACUACUGGAAACGGUAGCUAAUACCGCAUAACGUCGCAAGACCAAAGAGGGGGACCUUCGGGCCUCUUGCUAUCGGAUGUGCCCAGAUGGGAUUAGCUAGUAGGUGGGGUAACGGCUCACCUAGGCGACGAUCCCUAGCUGGUCUGAGAGGAUGACCAGCCACACUGGAACUGAGACACGGUCCAGACUCCUACGGGAGGCAGCAGUGGGGAAUAUUGCACAAUGGGCGCAAGCCUGAUGCAGCCAUGCCGCGUGUAUGAAGAAGGCCUUCGGGUUGUAAAGUACUUUCAGCGGGGAGGAAGGGAGUAAAGUUAAUACCUUUACUCAUUGACGUUACCCGCAGAAGAAGCACCGGCUAACUCCGUGCCAGCAGCCGCGGUAAUACGGAGGGUGCAAGCGUUAAUCGGAAUUACUGGGCGUAAAGCGCACGCAGGCGGUUUGUUAAGUCAGAUGUGAAAUCCCCG